RNAcentral lists this unclassified non-coding RNA (343 nucleotides) under soil metagenome. RNAcentral's name for it is "partial contains 5.8S ribosomal RNA, internal transcribed spacer 2, and large subunit ribosomal RNA". The stretch from base 1 to 121 matches the Rfam family "5.8S ribosomal RNA", at positions 35 to 154 of the family's 154-position model. The record is from RNAcentral.
GAUGAAGAACGUAGCGAAUUGCGAUAAGUAAUGUGAAUUGCAGAUUUUCAGUGAAUCAUCGAAUCUUUGAACGCACAUUGCGGCCAUAGGUAUUCCUUUGGCCAUGCCUGUUCGAGCGUCAUUUACACCCUCAAGCCUAGCUUGGUGUUGGGCGUCUGUCCCGCCGUUCUCGCGCGCGGACUCGCCUCAAAGUCAUUGGCGGCGGUCGUGCCGGCCCCCUCGCGCAGCACAUUUGCGCUUCUCGGAGGCCCGGCGGAUCCGCGCUCCAGCAAGACCUUUCACGACUUGACCUCGGAUCAGGUAGGGAUACCCGCUGAACUUAAGCAUAUCAAUAAGCGGAGGA